CCCGGGUCUUGUACACACCGCCCGUCACACCAUGGGAGCGGGUUCUGCCAGAAGUAGUUAGCCUAACCGCAAGGGGGGCGAUUACCACGGCAGGGUUCGUGACUGGGGUGAAGUCGUAACAAGGUACCC
This 129-nucleotide ribosomal RNA is filed under the name uncultured bacterium. Its description in RNAcentral is "partial 16S ribosomal RNA". It matches the Rfam family "Bacterial small subunit ribosomal RNA", at positions 1373 to 1501 of the family's 1533-position model. The record is from RNAcentral.